RNAcentral lists this ribosomal RNA (484 nucleotides) under uncultured bacterium. RNAcentral describes it as "partial 16S ribosomal RNA". It matches the Rfam family "Bacterial small subunit ribosomal RNA", at positions 28 to 507 of the family's 1533-position model. The record is from RNAcentral.
AUUGAACGCUGGCGGCAUGCUUUACACAUGCAAGUCGAACGGCAGCGCGGGCUUCGGCCUGGCGGCGAGUGGCGAACGGGUGAGUAAUGCAUCGGAACGUGCCCAGUAGUGGGGGAUAGCCCGGCGAAAGCCGGAUUAAUACCGCAUACGACCUGAGGGUGAAAGCGGGGGAGCGAAAGGCCUCGCGCUAUUGGAGCGGCCGAUGUGGGGUUAGCUAGUUGGUGGGGUAAAGGCUUACCAAGGCGACGAUCCGUAGCUGGUCUGAGAGGACGACCAGCCACACUGGGAGUGGACCACGGCCCAGACUCCUACGGGAGGCAGCAGUGGGGAAUUUUGGACAAUGGGGGCAACCAUGAUCCAGCCAUGCCGCGUGCGGUAAGGAGGCCUUGGGGUUGUAAACCGCUUUUGUUCGGGAAGAAAUCCUCUGGGCUAAUACCCCGGGGGGAUGACGGUACCGGAAGAAUAAGCACCGGCUAACUACGUG